UGCGGAAGGAUCAUUAUUGAAUGAACUUGGUGUGGUUGUUGCUGGCUCUCUCCUGGGGGCAUGUGCACACCCGCCAUCCUCAUCUCUCCACCUGUGCACCUCUUGUAGACCUGGAUGAAUUUUCCGAUCGGUCGGGAGGAAUGCUGCGCUCUUUGCGUCGGCUUUCUUUGCACUUCCAAGCCUACGUUUUUUUUUCAUAUACCCGUAGUAUGUAACAGAAUGUAUCAUUGGGCCCAAGUGCCUAUAAACUUUAUACAACUUUCAGCAACGGAUCUCUUGGCUCUCGCAUCGAUGAAGAACGCAGCGAAAUGCGAUAAGUAAUGUGAAUUGCAGAAUUCAGUGAAUCAUCGAAUCUUUGAACGCACCUUGCGCUCCUUGGUAUUCCGAGGAGCAUGCCUGUUUGAGUGUCAUUUAAUUCUCAACCUUAUUAGCUUUUGCUGAUAAUGGCUUGGAUGUGGGGGUUUUCUUUUGCUGGCUUUCGUCAGCUCCCCUUAAAUGCAUUAGCUGGUGCCCCGCGUGGACUGUCCGUUCGGUGUGAUAAUUAUCUACGCUGUGGAUGUCUGCAAUUGCACUGCUUCUAACCGUCUGUUCAUUUGGACAAUACAUGACAAUUUGACCUC
This 620-nucleotide ribosomal RNA is filed under the name Hymenogaster griseus. Its description in RNAcentral is "eukaryotic LSU rRNA". The stretch from base 257 to 410 matches the Rfam family "5.8S ribosomal RNA". The record is from RNAcentral. Lineage: Eukaryota; Fungi; Basidiomycota; Agaricomycetes; Agaricales; Hymenogastraceae.